GUGAAUCAUCAAAUCUUUGAACGCAAAUUGCACUCCCUGGUAUUCCGGAGAGUAUGCCUGUUUGAGGGUCAGUUUAAAUCAAAAUCGGUGUGGUUGAUGCCUUUCGUGGUGACGCACCGGAUCUGGGUCGUAUUGCCUUCGGCUAAGUGACCUAAAAUUUUGUAUGAUUUUUUUCGAAAGUAUUUAAAUGAUUUUACGUACGUUUGCGAUAUACAUUUCUAGGUGUGGUCAUCCUCAUGAU
Molecule: unclassified non-coding RNA, 241 nt
Filed under: Glomeromycotina sp.
Lineage: Eukaryota; Fungi; Glomeromycota
Description: partial contains 5.8S ribosomal RNA and internal transcribed spacer 2
Rfam family: 5.8S ribosomal RNA (bases 1-71)
Source: RNAcentral